UACGAAGGGGGCUAGCGUUGCUCGGAAUCACUGGGCGUAAAGCGCACGUAGGCGGCUUUUUAAGUCAGGGGUGAAAUCCUGGAGCUCAACUCCAGAACUGCCUUUGAUACUGAGAAGCUUGAGUCCGGGAGAGGUGAGUGGAAUUCCCAGUGUAGCGGUGAAAUGCGUAGAUAUUGGGAGGAACACCAGUGGCGAAGGCGGCUCACUGGACCGGAACUGACGCUGAGGCGCGAAAGCGUGGGGAGCAAACGGG
This 253-nucleotide ribosomal RNA is filed under the name uncultured bacterium. RNAcentral's name for it is "partial 16S ribosomal RNA". It matches the Rfam family "Bacterial small subunit ribosomal RNA", at positions 524 to 776 of the family's 1533-position model. The record is from RNAcentral.